RNAcentral lists this unclassified non-coding RNA (126 nucleotides) under uncultured fungus. RNAcentral describes it as "sequence contains ITS1". The record is from RNAcentral. Lineage: Eukaryota; Fungi.
CGAAUGGGUCCAAAGACUCUUAAAACCUACCGUGCUCCCCUACGUGGAAAACAGGAAAGCCCUCCGGGGCAUAGAAAUCUGAGAAGUUGAGAACUGCGCCCCGGCGCAUGACUAAGCAAAAAAUUA